RNAcentral lists this ribosomal RNA (2936 nucleotides) under Pectobacterium brasiliense. RNAcentral describes it as "23S ribosomal RNA". It matches the Rfam family "Bacterial large subunit ribosomal RNA". The record is from RNAcentral. Lineage: Bacteria; Pseudomonadati; Pseudomonadota; Gammaproteobacteria; Enterobacterales; Pectobacteriaceae.
GGGUUGUGAGGUUAAGCGACUAAGCGUACACGGUGGAUGCCUAGGCAGUCAGAGGCGAUGAAGGGCGUGCUAAUCUGCGAUAAGCGUCGGUAAGCUGAUAUGAAGCGUUAUACCCGACGAUACCCGAAUGGGGGAAACCCAGUGUGUUUCGACACACUAUCAUGACAUGAAUACAUAGUGUCAUGAGGCGAACCGGGGGAACUGAAACAUCUCAGUACCCCGAGGAAAAGAAAUCAACCGAGAUUCCCCCAGUAGCGGCGAGCGAACGGGGAGGAGCCCAGAACCUGAAUCAGUUUGUGUGUUAGUGGAAGCGUCUGGAAAGUCGCACAGUAAAGGGUGAUAGUCCCGUACACAAAAAUGCACAAGCUGUGAGUUCGAUGAGUAGGGCGGGACACGUGACAUCCUGUCUGAAUAUGGGGGGACCAUCCUCCAAGGCUAAAUACUCCUGACUGACCGAUAGUGAACCAGUACCGUGAGGGAAAGGCGAAAAGAACCCCGGCGAGGGGAGUGAAAUAGAACCUGAAACCGUGUACGUACAAGCAGUGGGAGCCUACUUGUUAGGUGACUGCGUACCUUUUGUAUAAUGGGUCAGCGACUUAUAUUCUGUAGCAAGGUUAACCGUAUAGGGGAGCCGCAGGGAAACCGAGUCUUAACUGGGCGUUAAGUUGCAGGGUAUAGACCCGAAACCCGGUGAUCUAGCCAUGGGCAGGUUGAAGGUUGGGUAACACUAACUGGAGGACCGAACCGACUAAUGUUGAAAAAUUAGCGGAUGACUUGUGGCUGGGGGUGAAAGGCCAAUCAAACCGGGAGAUAGCUGGUUCUCCCCGAAAGCUAUUUAGGUAGCGCCUCGUGAACUCAUCUUCGGGGGGUAGAGCACUGUUUCGGCUAGGGGGUCAUCCCGACUUACCAACCCGAUGCAAACUACGAAUACCGAAGAAUGUUAUCACGGGAGACACACGGCGGGUGCUAACGUUCGUCGUGAAGAGGGAAACAACCCAGACCGCCAGCUAAGGUCCCAAAGUCAUGGUUAAGUGGGAAACGAUGUGGGAAGGCACAGACAGCCAGGAUGUUGGCUUAGAAGCAGCCAUCAUUUAAAGAAAGCGUAAUAGCUCACUGGUCGAGUCGGCCUGCGCGGAAGAUGUAACGGGGCUAAACCAUGCACCGAAGCUGCGGCAGCGACACUUAGGUGUUGUUGGGUAGGGGAGCGUUCUGUAAGCCUGCGAAGGUGGCCUGUGAGGGCUGCUGGAGGUAUCAGAAGUGCGAAUGCUGACAUAAGUAACGAUAAUGCGGGUGAAAAACCCGCACGCCGGAAGACCAAGGGUUCCUGUCCAACGUUAAUCGGGGCAGGGUGAGUCGACCCCUAAGGCGAGGCUGAAAAGCGUAGUCGAUGGGAAACAGGUUAAUAUUCCUGUACUCGGUGUUACUGCGAAGGGGGGACGGAGAAAGCUAGGUUAUCCGGGCGACGGUUGUCCCGGUUUAAGCGUGAAGGUGGAUGACUUUGGUAAAUCCGGGUCAUCGUUAACACUGAGGCGUGAUGACGAGUCACUACGGUGAUGAAGUAACCGAUGCUACGCUUCCAGGAAAAGCCUCUAAGCUCCAGGUAACAUCAAAUCGUACCCCAAACCGACACAGGUGGUCAGGUAGAGAAUACUCAGGCGCUUGAGAGAACUCGGGUGAAGGAACUAGGCAAAAUGGUGCCGUAACUUCGGGAGAAGGCACGCUGAUGGUAAGUGAAGUGACUUGCUCAUGGAGCUGAAAUCAGUCGAAGAUACCAGCUGGCUGCAACUGUUUAAUAAAAACACAGCACUGUGCAAACACGAAAGUGGACGUAUACGGUGUGACGCCUGCCCGGUGCCGGAAGGUUAAUUGAUGGGGUCAGCCGCAAGGCGAAGCUCUUGAUCGAAGCCCCGGUAAACGGCGGCCGUAACUAUAACGGUCCUAAGGUAGCGAAAUUCCUUGUCGGGUAAGUUCCGACCUGCACGAAUGGCGUAAUGAUGGCCAGGCUGUCUCCACCCGAGACUCAGUGAAAUUGAACUCGCUGUGAAGAUGCAGUGUACCCGCGGCAAGACGGAAAGACCCCGUGAACCUUUACUAUAGCUUGACACUGAACCUUGAGCCUUGAUGUGUAGGAUAGGUGGGAGGCUUUGAAGUGUGGACGCCAGUCUGCAUGGAGCCAACCUUGAAAUACCACCCUUUAAUGUUUGAUGUUCUAACGUGGACCCGUGAUCCGGGUUGCGGACAGUGUCUGGUGGGUAGUUUGACUGGGGCGGUCUCCUCCCAAAGCGUAACGGAGGAGCACGAAGGUUAGCUAAUCCUGGUCGGACAUCAGGAGGUUAGUGCAAAGGCAUAAGCUAGCUUGACUGCGAGAGUGACAGCUCGAGCAGGUGCGAAAGCAGGUCUUAGUGAUCCGGUGGUUCUGAAUGGAAGGGCCAUCGCUCAACGGAUAAAAGGUACUCCGGGGAUAACAGGCUGAUACCGCCCAAGAGUUCAUAUCGACGGCGGUGUUUGGCACCUCGAUGUCGGCUCAUCACAUCCUGGGGCUGAAGUAGGUCCCAAGGGUAUGGCUGUUCGCCAUUUAAAGUGGUACGCGAGCUGGGUUUAGAACGUCGUGAGACAGUUCGGUCCCUAUCUGCCGUGGGCGUUGGAAGAUUGAGAGGGGUUGCUCCUAGUACGAGAGGACCGGAGUGAACGCACCACUGGUGUACGGGUUGUGAUGCCAAUUGCAUUGCCCGGUAGCUAAGUGCGGAAGAGAUAACCGCUGAAAGCAUCUAAGCGGGAAACUUGCCUCGAGAUGAGUCUUCCCUGGGCACUAGAUGCCCCUGAAGGGCCGUUGAAGACGACGACGUAGAUAGGCUGGGUGUGUAAGCGUAGCGAUACGUUGAGCUAACCAGUACUAAUGACCCGAGAGGCUUAACCUUACAACACCGAAGGUGUUU